UACGUAGGUGGCGAGCGUUAUCCGGAUUUACUGGGCGUAAAGGGCGUGUAGGCGGCUAGAUAAGUGUGAUGUUUAAAUCCAAGGCUUAACCUUGGGGUUCAUUACAAACUGUUUAGCUUGAGUGCUGGAGAGGAUAGUGGAAUUCCUAGUGUAGCGGUAAAAUGCGUAGAUAUUAGGAGGAACACCGGUGGCGAAGGCGGCUAUCUGGACAGUAACUGACGCUGAGGCGCGAAAGCGUGGGGAGCAAACA
Molecule: ribosomal RNA, 250 nt
Filed under: uncultured Oscillospiraceae bacterium
Lineage: Bacteria; Bacillati; Bacillota; Clostridia; Eubacteriales; Oscillospiraceae
Description: partial 16S ribosomal RNA
Rfam family: Bacterial small subunit ribosomal RNA
Source: RNAcentral